This is a non-coding RNA of Camellia sinensis, 1049 nucleotides long. The record is from RefSeq and is a predicted model, not a curated record. Lineage: Eukaryota; Viridiplantae; Streptophyta; Magnoliopsida; Ericales; Theaceae.
UCAACCACACAAUGUAGCACUCUAGGAAACUUUAAGAAAAAACCACUCUAGAGGAUCCUUGCUCGCAUCAAUGGCCGUGGGCGUGCUGGGCGGUAGCGGAUCCUCUAGAGUAAUCCUCUACAGAAUGAUCUCCUAAAGUGGAUAAUCGGACGGAUCUGCUUAAUACUCACCAAAACAACGACGUCGUUUUGGUGAGUAUUUUGAAAGAACAAAACAGAAUCAGGGAUUUCAAAAGGCAUUUCAAAAUUCCUUUUGACAUGUAUACAGACGGAGUGCGAAGGAGUUCAAAAUUCCUUUCGAGAGUGCGAAGGAGUUCAAAGGAGUGUUUGGGGUUCAAAGGACGAACGGCGGCAGAGGCAGACGAAGCACAACGGAGGACGGAGGACGACGAACCACGACGGAGGACGGAGGACGAACGGGAAUCUGAGGUAAACCUGAAAUCGCAAAGUUAGGGUUGGAUUUUGUUUGCUAUUUCGUGUUAGGGUUUGGGAUUUCAGCAAAAUAAGGGUCUGUGAGGAUUUUGAGGAAUGUUUUGCAAACACAUCUGCAACAGAGUAUGGUCUUUGGAGAGUUCCUUCAGAGUAUGUCAUAUAUUAAGUGUAUAGGCAGUUAAAGUAAACCAAAACUAAGUAAACUUUCUGCUGUUGUGACUACGAACGAGCACUGCAAUUACUUCAGGUGGUUCGCAGAUGAUGACGACGCCGACAACAACAUUACCUCAUCAAUCCGUGCCAAUGCUGGACCUCCGACAGAUUCAAGAACAGAAGAAAUUAAUGAUCUAAGGAGAAGGGUUGGUGAGCAUGAUAGAAGGCUUCAAAGGAUUGAGAAGAUUUUCAAGGCAAUGACUUAUGUCAUUGUAUUUUGUGUAUUUUUGUACUUUAUCAUGUAAAUGACUCAGUUCUUAGGUUUUGGAAAAUUUUUUUGGUGCUUAAAAAUCUGAUGGUUUGCAAAAACAAGUGUGUAACAUGUUUGAUUGAGAUGAAAUGUUGAAUGAACAGUUUCUGAAAUCUAUUACUUUAGGUUGAAUGUUGUAUAGCAGGUUUUUGAAA